UACGGGGGGUGCAAGCGUUGUUCGGAAUUAUUGGGCGUAAAGAGCGUGUAGGCGGUUAGGCAAGUCAGAUGUGAAAGCCCUGGGCUCAACUCAGGAAGUGCAUUUGAAACUGCUUAACUAGAGUAAGAGAGGGGAAAGUGGAAUUCCUGGUGUAGAGGUGAAAUUCGUAGAUAUCAGGAGGAACACCGGUGGCGAAGGCGGCUUUCUGGCUCUAUACUGACGCUGAGACGCGAAAGCGUGGGGAGCAAACAGGAUUAGAUACCCCCGUA
This 269-nucleotide ribosomal RNA is filed under the name uncultured prokaryote. RNAcentral describes it as "partial 16S ribosomal RNA". It matches the Rfam family "Bacterial small subunit ribosomal RNA", at positions 524 to 792 of the family's 1533-position model. The record is from RNAcentral.